Molecule: long non-coding RNA, 999 nt
Organism: Drosophila sechellia
Lineage: Eukaryota; Metazoa; Arthropoda; Insecta; Diptera; Drosophilidae
Exons: 2
Source: RefSeq, a predicted model, not a curated record
UUCGGAAACAUCUCUGGGAGAAGAGUAUUACUGUCCUAUUCACAUGUGCGGAAGCCUUAUAAAGAUAUUUUCUUCCCAUAUCCUGCAAGAUCAUAGAGUUGGGAAAACCAAAGGUGCUUCACCACAGGAAGAUUACCAUCAAGUAGUGGAAGGUUUACCAAAGCAGUUCUCCUUCGAUGGCGAUCUCCUCACCAUAGGAAACACUUUUGUGGCCCUUCUCUUUUACACCAUCUUAGCGAAAGAACGCACCCUUAGAUCACAUCGAAUGCGGAAUCAUCCGCUGACCAUGCUAGCUGCUCCAAAAAUGGCGAAGGAUGAUACAUUAGCCGGCGUUUUCUUCUGGCUGGUCGGUUGUCCAUCGUGUGCCCAACUUCUUGCCAAGCUCACAGUCUACGAUCCAUUCGAUCAAAUUGGACGGAGUAUGAUCAUAAGACCACGUGAAUUAUCUCAGAACCAAGACCCUCGAGAAUUCGUCGCCAAUUCGAAAGAUCAUUUGCUUAUAAGCGUUCCACACAAGCAAAGAACUUUUCAAAUAACCGUGGUCAUAGAUGAACCUCAAACUUAGUUAUAAAGGAUAUCUAGUUACUUAAAACUAAAAUUUAUAGACGUUGUUAAUUUUCGUUUUUAAUCCCUUUGAUACCACGAGUUUAAUUUUAAAGACAAAUUGUAUGUUGUAUAUUUUUUAAUAAAACGUUCGAGCAAGAACUAAAAAACGCUCAAAUAUCUCUCACAUCAGAUCAGAAUUGCCUAGCUUUAUUUAUAUAAUAGUUAAUUGCGUGUUACACUACUAAUUUCAUUAAGUUGUUAGUUUUUCUUUAAUUACAUGUAGAGUAAAUAUUUUUGCACAUAGAAACGCAUGCGCUCACAUCUACGUACGUACUCGCUAUGAUUAUUAUCAUUUGCAAUCGUUUCUUGCACCUGCCUAGUGCGCUCUGCUGUAUACAUUUACAAACAUAGGAAUAGAAAUAAGUAAUAUAUAUGUAGUUUGUUUAACGGCUU